This 58-nucleotide transfer RNA is filed under the name Tropilaelaps mercedesae. It matches the Rfam family "tRNA", at positions 8 to 63 of the family's 71-position model. From Rfam's summary of the family: Transfer RNA (tRNA) molecules are approximately 80 nucleotides in length. Their secondary structure includes four short double-helical elements and three loops (D, anti-codon, and T loops). The record is from Rfam by way of RNAcentral. Lineage: Eukaryota; Metazoa; Arthropoda; Arachnida; Mesostigmata; Laelapidae.
UAGCGCAGUGGAUAGCGCGUUGGACUUCUAAUCCAAAGGUCGCGGGUUCGACUCCCGC